RNAcentral lists this ribosomal RNA (428 nucleotides) under uncultured bacterium. Its description in RNAcentral is "bacterial SSU rRNA". It matches the Rfam family "Bacterial small subunit ribosomal RNA", at positions 355 to 774 of the family's 1533-position model. The record is from RNAcentral.
UGGGGAAUAUUGGACAAUGGGGGCAACCCUGAUCCAGCAAUGCCGCGUGUGUGAAGAAGGCCUGCGGGUUGUAAAGCACUUUCAGUAGAGAAGAAAAGCUCACGGUUAAUACCCGCUGAGUCUUGACGUAACCUACAGAAGAAGCACCGGCUAACUCCGUGCCAGCAGCCGCGGUAAUACGGAGGGUGCAAGCGUUAAUCGGAAUUACUGGGCGUAAAGCGCGCGCAGGCGGUUUGGUAAGUCGGAUGUGAAAGCCCAGGGCUUAACCUUGGAAUUGCAUUCGAUACUGCUUAACUAGAGUACGGUAGAGGGAAGUGGAAUUUCCGGUGUAGCGGUGAAAUGCGUAGAUAUCGGAAGGAACACCAGUGGCGAAGGCGACUUCCUGGGCCAGUACUGACGCUGAGGUGCGAAAGCGUGGGGAGCAAACA